CGAGGUGAGAAGGGCCUUUGUCAGGGAGGUGAGAAGGGCCUUUGUCAGGGAGGUGAGAAGGGCCUUUGUCAGGGAGGUGAGAAGGGCCUUUGUCAGGGAGGUGAGAAGGGCCUUUGUCAGGGAGGUGAGAAGGGCCUUUGUCAGGGAGGUGAGAAGGGCCUUUGUCAGGGAGGUGAGAAGGGCCUUUGUCAGCGAGGUGAGAAGGGCCUUUGUCAGCGAGGUGACCAAGAACCACAUGGUCACUCUGACAGAGCUCUAGAGAACCUUCCAGAACCUUCCAGAAGGACAACAAUCGGGGGUGAAAGGCCUUUUGUCAGUGACCAAGAAUGUAUUUAU
Molecule: long non-coding RNA, 336 nt
Organism: Oncorhynchus keta (chum salmon)
Lineage: Eukaryota; Metazoa; Chordata; Actinopteri; Salmoniformes; Salmonidae
Exons: 3
Source: RefSeq, a predicted model, not a curated record